UAUCAGGUUUCACUACUGUGCGGCGACACCUACAAUUUCUAUAGUGAGAAAAAAAAACUCAGUAACCAAACAACUCAGAAACCGGAGCACUCCUGUCCCGGAGGAGUCACCUGCACCUCUAAGUCACACGGGAGGCUGUGAUGCAUAAGUGUCCCACCAACUGUCCUUGAUUCCCGGAAUGCCUUCUCCCAGUGCCCAGGAUCCGUGCCGGGAAGGCCCAAAGGUCAGCGGUGGAAGCCAGAAAGUCUGUGCCAGCGGGGUGAAGGAGCUGUGCUGGUGGGAUGAGGGUUCUACGCUGGAGCCGAGAAGUCACACUCACAACAAAGGCCCCACAACCAUCCUCAGUGACACGGAGACCCUGAGCUCCUCCGAUGAUAGGCACAGUCGGGUACAUGCCAGGAAGCCAGCGUGAUGAGUUCAUCCUAGAGACCAAGCGGCACACGUCUUCUGCUCCGGAACCAGAAAGCAAUGCUCGAUGUGCAGACCAGAGCUUCUCCAGGAGAACCCACAGUGCCUCAGCGCCUCCCUUCUCCUUCUCCACAUCUCCAUUUAUGGUGACAACUUUCCUCAGGUGGACCAUCUAUGCUUAGCGCCAUAGUGACUUAAUCCAGCUGGCAUUAAGUUAACCACCAGUUCUUAAUCCAUAACAGCCAACAGCCCCACCAAAAAAAAAAAAAAAAAAAAAAAAAAUCAGCACGAAAGUGAUGAACUCUGUUGGAAACUUUUAAAGAGCAAGUUGCUCAUGGCAACCUGGGCAAAGAAGCUCAGAGGACAAUGUGGGUGAAGGACCAGGAAUUCCGGAACCUGCAAGGACAGGUGUGCCUGUGUGGUGUGGUGACCACUGCCUUCUCCCACGCUCCUCUGUGAACCAGUCUCAGGUGAGACAGGAGGUGGGGUGGACCCCCUGCUCUGAAGACCGGAGGGAGAGACAGCUGUCAGUUACAGAUCCCGCGUGAGAGUCCAGGGUGAAGUCUGAGAACACAGACGAGCUCGUCCAGAGGCAGGAGAGCCCAGAGCAGGGAUGGCGAAGCUUUUCCAGAUUUCAGCGGUAGAAAAAGCCUGCAGUGGCGCUCGUGCCCUGGGUUCGCCACCACUGGCCUAGCGCGAGGCUUUCCUCUGCAGGAGGAAAAGGAGGAGGCUUUCCUCGGCAGAAGGGCUGCCGGCUGCCGGCUGCGGCCAACUGCGGCAGCCCUGUGCUCCUGCCGAGGCUGGACCUGCUUCCCACACCAGGUGCGUCCCUGUUGGAAAUAGGCCUAUGAGUCACUGGGAAAAGAGGAAUUCAAUUAAUAAAGACUCAGUCAUGCUGCA
Long non-coding RNA from Cavia porcellus (domestic guinea pig), 1308 nucleotides. RefSeq lists it as uncharacterized. The record is from RefSeq and is a predicted model, not a curated record. The transcript is spliced from 2 exons. NCBI's taxonomy places the organism in Eukaryota, Metazoa, Chordata, Mammalia, Rodentia, Caviidae.